Macrobrachium nipponense is the source of this 1826-nucleotide long non-coding RNA. RefSeq lists it as uncharacterized. The record is from RefSeq and is a predicted model, not a curated record. The transcript is spliced from 3 exons. Lineage: Eukaryota; Metazoa; Arthropoda; Malacostraca; Decapoda; Palaemonidae.
AAGCAUCUUCAUCAACCAGUGAAAAGUCAGUCACUCGAGAAGAAAUUACUACAUUUCAGCUUGAACCAUGAAGCUUCUCCAUAAACUUUUUAAGCUGCUGUUCUGCUGGGCGCUGACUGGCACCAGUUUUGUUGGAGCUAGUUUUGAAGGACACUUAAUAAUCUACGGGGGUCGCAACGCGGCUAGGCCUACCACAGGAGCCCUUAUUACCGGUAACGGCGGCAACAAUCCACCUCCUCCCAUAGUUUUCGGUGCUAGGCCUAAACCAAGGCCUAGGCCUAGACCGAAUUGCAGACCUUGGCAGUUCCGCUGCCGAGGAUAAGUUGAGCCUCGCUGACGCCUGUUUUGACGUAGAAUCACCACAACGAACUUUCAGUUGAAAAUCUUCAUGAAUAACAUCGAAUUACUCUGUUAUUCAUCUUGUGAUGAAUUGCAGUCCUUCAGAAUAGUGUCUUUCGAUGAAUACUGAGACUCUCUGACGCCUGGUUUGACUGAGAAUCACUACAAUUAAAUUUAAACGAGAUAUCUUUGUGUAUAUUGACGAAUGACUGUUAUCCACCUUUUAUUCCAAAUGGUUUCCUGUGAUAUUUUCCCCCAUUUAAUUGGGAGCAAUGAUAUGUACUACAGCAUGAUGUGAUGACACUUUUAAAUAAUAUUCAUUUCCACCGAUAUAAGUCUUUUCAUUCCUCUCCACUUUAGUCUCUUAUUUAAAUACGACCACUCGGCAACUCAGAUCGCAUAAAAAAAAAAUCCUGUAUUGUGGACGUCACGGGGUUCACGAUGCUUAUAAGCAGCCAAGAGUGGAUGAGCGACCUCAGUAAGCAUCAGUAAGCAUCUCCGACCAGUGAGGUCAUUCAGAAGAAGGCAGGUUUCCCUCCCCCCAACGGUUACUUUCAACGAUGAAGCUUCUUCAUCAACUUUUCAAGUUGUUGAUCUGCUUAAGGCUGAUUGGCGGCACCAGUUUCGUGAGAGCUGCCGACCCUACCAUCAUAGGAGGAAGCAACGCUUUUAGACCGAGUACAGGAGCCCUUAUUACCGGUAACGGCGGCAACAAUCCACCUCCUCCCAUAGUUUUCGGUGUUAGGCCUAAACCAAGGCCUAGGCCUAGACCGAAUUGCAGACCUUGGCAGUUCCGCUGCGAGGAUAAGUUGAGGCUCUCUGGCGCCUGGUUUUGACGGAGAAUCACUUCAACGAACUUUCAGGUGAAAAUCUUCAUGAAUAACAUCGAAUUACUCUGUUAUUCAUCUUGUGAUGAAUUGCAGUCCUUCAGAAUAGUGUCUUUCGAUGAAUACUGAAACUCUCUGACGCCUGGUUUGACUGAGAAUCACUACAAUUAAAUUUAAACGAGAUAUCUUUGUGUAAUAUUGAUGAAUGACUGUUAUCCACCUUUUAUUUCCAAAUGGUUUUUCUGUGAUAUUUUCCCCCAUUUAAUUGGGAGCAAUGAUAUGUACUACAGCAUGAUGUAAUGACACUUUUAAAUAAUAUUUAUUUCAACCGAGCCAAGUCUUUUCAUUCCUCUCCACUGUAGUCUCUUAUUCAAAUACCGACCAUACGGCGAGACAAAAAAUUCCUGGUUGUGACGUCACGGGGUUCACGAUGCUUAUAAGCAGCCAAGAGUGGAUGGGCGACCUCAGUAAGCAUCUCCGACCAGUGAGGUCACUCAAGAAGAAGGCAGGUUUCCCUCCCCAACGGUUACUUUCAACGAUGAAGCUUCUUCAUCAACUUUUCAAGUUGUUGAUCUGCUUAAGGCUGAUUGGCGGCACCAGUUUUCGUGAGAGCUGCCGACCUUACCAUCAUAGGAGGAAGCAACGCUUUUAGACAGAGUA